This 1119-nucleotide long non-coding RNA is filed under the name Capsicum annuum. Its description in RNAcentral is "long non-coding RNA (CANN_LNC009602)". The record is from RNAcentral. Lineage: Eukaryota; Viridiplantae; Streptophyta; Magnoliopsida; Solanales; Solanaceae.
UACUACUAUAAGAAAAAAACUUCCACAGCAAACAUCACCACCCCUUUUUCUUCUAUUCCAACAGUUAAUAAUAGCCUCCUUUCCAACCCCUUUUUCUUUUACUUCUCACCAGCCCUGCAAACUACAAGAGCUUUAAGAGAUGUUGAAAAAGAUUAAUAAUAUAAAAUUAUUAGUUUAUUUGUUUGUUGUGAUCUUAGUGGCUGAUCAUAAUCACCAUGCUAAUGCAGAAAAAAACUCACAAGUUGUUAAUGUUAAGCCCUUAUUGUCCAGUAACCAUAAUUCCCACAAAUCUUCAUUAACAUUUUCUCAGUCUUUGCCAAAAGGAGUCCCUAUUCCACCUUCUGCUCCUUCCAAAAGGCACAAUCAAAUCAAUAUCUAAAUUAUAUUAAGGCCGUGAAGAAAUUAUUGAAGGGAAAUUCAAGAUUAUUUUGAAGGUUCUCUAACUGUACAUGGUUUACUAGUGAGUAUUAUACAUUUGCAUAUUAGAUACAAUUUUUUUUAAUAUAAUUUGUUCUCUUUUUUCCCUCCUAAUGCUUCAGAUCAUUAGCAUUUUGUGGACUUAUUAAUUACUUCUCUAAGUUUUGUAAAGAGAAGCUAUUUAAUUUAUAGAACCCCAUAGAUUUUCUUGAUUGGGGGUUAUAAUUCAUAUCUUGAUAAAUUCAUCUGUGUUAUGACUAUGAAAUGAUUAUCAAUAACAGCAGAAUUUACCCUACUUAAUUAAUACACAGCAGGAAUUAGAAUUUUAAGUUUAUGAAUUUUGAAUUUUCGAAGCAACUUCCUGUGUUCUAGAUAUAGAUAUACAGUUAAUUUCUUAAUAUCCAAAUACAAAGUUUAGGCCAAAAUUGUGAUUUGCUGAACCUGUUCCUAGAACUCUAACUCUGUGUCUAAUGUUAUGUAUGGUUGUUUAUUUAAAUCUUGCAUUAACUUUGUUCUUAUAUAAUCUAGUAGAUUUCUUGUUACUUGUUUUUUUUGGUUAUAUUUCUUUUCCUCCUUUUUUCUUUUAAAUAUUUCAACUUAGAACAUGAAAAUUUAGUAACAUAGAAGCAUCAGCACGAGGUCUGUAACAAACUUAGAUAAGAAGGAGAAGACCCAACCACUAUUUGAUUUCUUUAACAAAAA